Patella vulgata (common limpet) is the source of this 1474-nucleotide RNA transcript. It is a transcript of the gene named sulfotransferase 1E1, with no coding region annotated. NCBI's taxonomy places the organism in Eukaryota, Metazoa, Mollusca, Gastropoda, Patellidae. The transcript has 6 exons. The record is from RefSeq and is a predicted model, not a curated record.
GACGCUACACAUAAACCCGACGAAAAGAACUCUUUCGGUUGAAAUUUGAAAUAUGGGUAGACCGUAGCCUCGCUGUCUGUGUAAAACUGCCCUCAUAGCACACUGCAUGACGUAUGCGAGUCUUGAAUAGCCCAGUCUGUGCAGAAAAUAGUGUUAAAUCCUUCUCCAUUUCAUAGACCCGAUGUGACAAAUAAUACAGUGUGACCUUUACCGUAUACAUCUUAUUACUGACAGCGCGAGUAGUUUAUUUUAUACUAAAUUAACUAUAUAUAGCUGACGUUGUAUAUAUACAAACGCUCAGUUUACAGUCGUGGUGUGAUAAUAUGCUGAUAUAUUCAAAGUUUAGAUUCAUAGCCAUGUUUGUGUGAAUAUAGAAACAUUAUUGACGAUAUUAUAACGGAUGUAGUAGUGAAACAGAGAAUAAUACAGUCUGACAAAAAAGGAGAAGAACUCGUUGGUAACAAACCGGAAGUUCAUUUUAGACAAAUCAAGGAUUUCAAGAUACGAGACGAUGACGUCAUGAUAUGUGCUUAUCCAAAAGCAGGUACUCACUGGAUCUGGGAAGUUAUUCAAAUGUUACGAAGUCAAUCUACAGAAUAUAACAAACAGAUCAAGGAGAAACAAAUGUUAGAAUUCGGCAUGCUGGCAGAAAUUGACCAGGAACCGUCCCCACGUCUUCUUAAUUCACACUUAUGGCCGCGACAUUUACCCACAGAGAUGUUCUCAAAGAAAACCAAAAUUAUUUAUCUGCUUCGGAACCCAAAAGACACAAUUGUGUCAUAUUUCUUCCACAUCAGCGCAACAGAUGUUACCGUAAAGUACUAUGGAACUAUCAGAGAUUUCAUAGAUAUGUCUUUGUAUAAAACUUUACCGUAUGGAACGUGGUAUGACUACGUUCUAGAGUGGGAGAAGUUCUUUGAAACAACUGAAAAUCCAUUUUAUCAGUUUAGCUAUGAAGAUAUGCACGAGAAUCCAGCAGAACAUGUAAAUGGCUUAGCUAAAUUUCUAGAUUUGCGAGCGUCUGAUGAGUUAUGCAAAGCUAUAGUUGAAGCUUGUAGCUUUAAGAAAUUAAAGAAAGCUAAUGAGGAAAUUAAAGAUAAUUUUCUCAAAUAUGAAUGGAAGGAAGGAGUAUCUAUCUAUCGAGAAGGUAAAGUAGGAGAUUGGAAAAAUUGGUUAACUGUUGCUGAAAGUGAAAGUUUUGAUAAAGUUACAGAAGAAAAACUAAAGAAUAGUAAAGUGAAAGUCAGAUAUACCUUAUGAAUAUAGACAGUAACCUUAUUUCUAGAUGUAAGAUGACAUAACAAUAACUACAUUCUAAACUUACGCUGUUCGUCAAUUAGCUCAGCUUGAGAACAAACACGAAGCUAAUUGACCGACAUUUUAAUUCGUAAAUCGACGAAAACAUUAAGUAUAUUUAGAGAAUUUUGAGAAGUGUUUAUCCUGCUUCCAUUUAAUUAAAUCGAUUUUUUGUUUG